This 856-nucleotide long non-coding RNA is filed under the name Coturnix japonica (Japanese quail). RNAcentral's name for it is "lncRNA (ENSCJPG00005014358.1)". The record is from RNAcentral. Lineage: Eukaryota; Metazoa; Chordata; Aves; Galliformes; Phasianidae.
CUCCCAUCUGUUCUGCUUAUAGUAACAUUUAUAUGAGUGGGCAAGCAGGACUGGCUGUUGGUCUGUAGGACUGAGCCUCUGAAGUUACUGGAGGAAUCUGAAAUAAAGGACAAGGAGAGUGUAGUAACAAUUGCACUGGAGAGUGAUGGCUAUCAGCAAUACAGAAUUAAUCUGCUCUAGAAUUUAUCUUUUUAGCUCUUUCUACAGAUUCCAAAGAGAAGUUUGAACAGAUGUAAGAGGGUAACAGCCCAAGACUGCAGACAAUUGAAAUGUAGUAAUUAGGAGCUUAUUAUAAGCAGCUGCAGCACUGCUCUUUUAUUACAAUGGGGAAAGGAAACUUUGUUCUGCUAAUAGAUUAUUGUUUAUGUGUUUUGGGUAGUAUUUAUUUCAAGGAGGUUCUGUCUUUGCUUUGAGGUGCUUGACAAACCUGAAUGACUCAGGGUGUUCUCAAGCACUAAAACAUGCACCUUCCAGCCCUGCUGCCUCCUGGGGUCACAGUUUGUUACCUGCUAAUAAAUCCUUACAUGUCGUGUCAGAAGUCUUUCAUCUUCCCAAGAUGAUUAUUCAAAGGAUUUUGAAGAUCUGAAUAGGUUGGCCUUCCAUUUGCAACUUGAACUCUCACCUGCUAUGAAAAGUGUUUUUCUUUUGACUUUACAUCUUUACAUGGGUUUCCUUGGAUCAAACUGUCACUUAAAAUUUGACUUAAAAUGUAAUAAUAGCCAUCUAAAUUGAAAUACUUGUCCAUUCUUUGACAAUCUAUAAUGCUAUGAACAGAUAGCUAUUCAAUUAAAGCUGAUUAUUGUACAGCCUGUAAUAUAGGGAAAAAAAUAAAUAAUGUAAAGCUUUAUUUUGCCCA